This 255-nucleotide unclassified non-coding RNA is filed under the name Hevea brasiliensis (rubber tree). Lineage: Eukaryota; Viridiplantae; Streptophyta; Magnoliopsida; Malpighiales; Euphorbiaceae. The record is from RNAcentral.
ACCAAUCUUGUCCAUUACAGUAAGCUAUAUACAUAAAUAUAUUUAUGCCCUUCUCAAAAUAUGUAUGCCAACCAUGCUUCUGAUAAAAUCUCUUCUGAGCAUUAUAAUGCAGGAGUGAAAGUCUGCCGUUGUUUGCUUAACAGCUGAAGUAGGUUCACUAGUAGUUUGCAAGAUGUAUGAACCAAAUUUGCUGUGUUUAUUGGUGGUAUUUGAGAGGACUUUCAAAUUCUAAGACAAGAUCAAAUAACAGUGAUG